UACGAAGGGUGCAAGCGUUAAUCGGAAUUACUGGGCGUAAAGCGUGCGUAGGCGGUUUGUUAAGUCUGAUGUGAAAGCCCUGGGCUCAACCUGGGAACUGCAUUGGAUACUGGCAAGCUAGAGUACGGUAGAGGAAGGUGGAAUUCCCGGUGUAGCGGUGAAAUGCGUAGAGAUCGGGAGGAACAUCUGUGGCGAAGGCGACCUUCUGGACCAGUACUGACGCUGAGGCACGAAAGCGUGGGGAGCAAACAGGAUUAGAUACCCCGGUAGU
RNAcentral lists this ribosomal RNA (271 nucleotides) under uncultured bacterium. Its description in RNAcentral is "partial 16S ribosomal RNA". It matches the Rfam family "Bacterial small subunit ribosomal RNA", at positions 524 to 794 of the family's 1533-position model. The record is from RNAcentral.